UACGGGGGGGGCAAGCGUUGUUCGGAAUUACUGGGCGUAAAGGGCUCGUAGGUGGCCAACUAAGUCAGGCGUGAAAUCCCCAGGCUCAACUUGGGGACUGCGUCUGAUACUGGAUGGCUUGAAUUCGGGAGAGGGAUGCAGAAUUCCAGGUGUAGCGGUGAAAUGCGUAGAUAUCUGGAGGAAUACCGGUGGCGAAGGCGGCAUCCUGGACCAAUACUGACGCUGAGGAGCGAAAGCCAGGGGAGCAAACGGG
Molecule: ribosomal RNA, 253 nt
Filed under: uncultured bacterium
Lineage: Bacteria
Description: partial 16S ribosomal RNA
Rfam family: Bacterial small subunit ribosomal RNA
Source: RNAcentral